RNAcentral lists this long non-coding RNA (266 nucleotides) under Solanum tuberosum (potato). Its description in RNAcentral is "long non-coding RNA (STUB_LNC008165)". The record is from RNAcentral. Lineage: Eukaryota; Viridiplantae; Streptophyta; Magnoliopsida; Solanales; Solanaceae.
CAUUAUAUACCACUAUAAUAUUCAAUGUGAUUCUACAAGUGAGGUUUGGAGAGAAUAAAGUAUAUGCAAAUGUUAAUUUUAUCUUAAGAGGUAGAGAUGCUUUUUUGAUAGACUAUUGGCUUAAAAAGAAGAAGAAGAAAACGAAAUGAAAACAAAAGUGUGAAGAAGUCAUUGCAGAAUACUAUAGAGACAAUGUCAAAGCAUAUUAAAAAACAAAGAUAACUAUAAAAAAGAAAUGAUAAUCGAAGUGCAAUAAAAUAACAGGC